Molecule: ribosomal RNA, 497 nt
Filed under: uncultured bacterium
Lineage: Bacteria
Description: partial 16S ribosomal RNA
Rfam family: Bacterial small subunit ribosomal RNA
Source: RNAcentral
GAUGAACGCUGGCGGCGUGCCUAAUACAUGCAAGUCGAGCGAACAGAUGAGGAGCUUGCUCCUCUGACGAUAGCGGCGGACGGGUGAGUAACACGUGGAUAACCUACCUAUAAGACUGGGAUAACUUCGGGAAACCGGAGCUAAUACCGGAUAAUAUAUUGAACCGCAUGGUUCAAUAGUGAAAGACGGUUUUGCUGUCACUUAUAGAUGGAUCCGCGCCGCAUUAGCUAGUUGGUAAGGUAACGGCUUACCAAGGCAACGAUGCGUAGCCGACCUGAGAGGGUGAUCGGCCACACUGGAACUGAGACACGGUCCAGACUCCUACGGGAGGCAGCAGUAGGGAAUCUUCCGCAAUGGGCGAAAGCCUGACGGAGCAACGCCGCGUGAGUGAUGAAGGUCUUCGGAUCGUAAAACUCUGUUAUUAGGGAAGAACAAAUGUGUAAGUAACUAUGCACGUCUUGACGGUACCUAAUCAGAAAGCCACGGCUAACUACGUG